CCUACGGGUGGCAGCAGUCGAGAAUCAUUCACAAUGGGGGAAACCCUGAUGGUGCGACGCCGCGUGGGGGAAUGAAGGUCUUCGGAUUGUAAACCCCUGUCAUGUGGGAGCAAAUUAAAAAGAUAGUACCCCAAGAGGAAGAGACGGCUAACUCUGUUCCAGCAGCCGCGGGAAUACAGAGGUCUCAAGCGUUGUUCGGAAUGACUGGGCGUAAAGCGUUCGUAGGCUGUUCAGUAAGUCGUGUGUGAAAGGCGCGGGCGCAAACCGCGGGCGGCACAUGAGACUGCGAGACUAGAGUAAUGGAGGGGGAACCGGAAUUCUCGGUGUAGCAGUGAAAUGCGUAGAUAUCGAGAGGAACACUCGUGGCGAAGGCGGGUUCCUGGACAUUAACUGACGCUGAGGCACGAAGGCCAGGGGAGCGAAAGGGAUUAGAUACCCUUGUAGUC
Molecule: ribosomal RNA, 446 nt
Filed under: uncultured bacterium
Lineage: Bacteria
Description: partial 16S ribosomal RNA
Rfam family: Bacterial small subunit ribosomal RNA
Source: RNAcentral